Molecule: long non-coding RNA, 9598 nt
Organism: Cervus elaphus (red deer)
Lineage: Eukaryota; Metazoa; Chordata; Mammalia; Artiodactyla; Cervidae
Exons: 3
Source: RefSeq, a predicted model, not a curated record
CAGUAUUCUGGCCUGGAGAAUCCCAUGGGCAGAGGAGCUUGGCAGGCUUCAGCCCAUGGGAGUGCAAAGAGUUGGACACAACUGAUGUUUGACACUGACUUUCACUCAUUUCUUUAUUUUCAGCAUUUCUCUGAGAUUUUUUUGAUGUAUGUCACUUCAGGCAUUUUAAGCCUAGCGAUGGGCUAGCUCCUAUUUCCUAAAUAUUUGUUUUUUGAACUGUUAGUGUUUACAAUUUGUUAAAAAUAGAUUACUGUAAUUGGAGUCUUCAGUUGUAGAACUGAAGGACUGAAAUCACCUGUUCUCUCUCCUAAAUGAUAAGGUUCUUAGUUUAGCAGACAUAAAACUUUUUUCUGAUGACGUGCUCCACCAGUGCACACUGGUUCCAAAGUAGAUUUGGCCAGUGAAGAUAAUCUGUUUUUGAUAAGGAAAUAAAAACUUGAUUGGUGGUAAAGCAGUUUGGUAUGGAUAUUAUGAGGUGCUGGUAAGAGAAAUACAAGCUUAAAUUUCAAUUGAAAUAUAUUGUGAAUCAUUAAAAAAAAUUUCUGUUUUGAUACACCUCAUGUAGAAGCAGUACUGAAUGGAUUCCAACUAUAUGUUACAUAAGCAAAGGCAUACUUAAGAUUCCAUCUUUUCCAUUGUAGUAAAUGCCUGUUAAAAAAUUGAGAGUAUUAUGUCAUUGUAGGAGAGGGAAUAUUUCUUUAGAAAUUUCUAGAUUCCAGGAAGAGUAGAGAAAGUAACUAGGUUUGUUUCUGUCCUCUAAUGUAGUUAUCUGAACUUUAAAACAUUGUUCCAUUAUUGAAAUUUAGAGACAGUUAAGCAAUGAAGGGGAAAGGUGAUACUAUAAAAAUAACAAAAAAAGAUUUAGAGCUUUUGAAAUAGUCCUUCCAUGGAACUAAAUAAGACACAUUUUAGUAAAUAUCAUUGAUUUAUCUCUGAUACUGAAGAAAAAAAUUCAGAAUGUUUCACCAGGAAAGCGUUCUACAGUAUAGGGAUAUUCCUUGUCUUAAUGCUUUAUUUUGGGAUUUUUUUUCAAUAUUUGAAUUUAUAAAUUUCAGUCUCCAGCAUACUUUGCCAGCCCUUUCUAAAUUCACCUUCCUAAUUUAGAGCCUUUUGUGUAACUCUCCUUGUGUUUUUAAGUAACGGGUGAGCUCCAUGAUGACUAAAGUAUACAACUUCCUACUUUGCGUAGGACUAUUGUUUUCUUGCUUUAUGGUGAUGACAGGUUGUAAUAGUCUCUCUGAGGGAUCUACUGCUCUUCCCAACUGUCUCUGACCAAAUAAAAAAAGGAGAAAAUGCCUUCUGAAUACUGCCUUGUUUUAAUGAUAUCUUAAGCACCAGGUGUUGAUUUAUGAGCCAAAAGAUGUACUGCAAGAGGAACCAGGUAUGGAUUGUACCAUUGGAUAGCUAAGGAUUGUCUUAAGAUAUGUAAGAACAGCACAGGUAAGCCGCUGCAUUCCGUGGUUUUAAGCUUUGCUUUGACGGUGACCUCCAAAUCAACUGUACAACAGAUAGAACAUGCCAGGUCAGUCUUUCUUACUUUUCAGAGAGAACAUGGUUCUAAUUCUAGGAGAAUAAUCUCCCUUUUCAGAUUUGGGGUGGAUGAGUUAAAUGGAACUUUGUACUUAAAAGUUUGGCAUUGGUGGCACCAAAUUAACAAGCUGCAUAAAAAGAGGGGAUGGUGAAAGAGUGACUAAUCUCACAUAAUCACUUUGUCUUACUUUGAGAUUCAUUAUUUGAUCUGUCAUAUGAUUUUGGAGCUAAUACAUUGAUUGACUGGGUGGGUUUGUAGGGGUCUUUGCUUCCAUCUCCAGAUGGGGCAGCCAGGGCAGUGAAUUUAGGUUACAAGUCAUUCAUUCCACACAACAAAUGGAAUAAGUUUUAAAUGGGUUUCAAGUUUUUUGGAAUGGAGAUAAAUUGUUUGGACUCCAUUACAUAUCAACAUAUAGGAACAAUCUCAGUCAACUGAGUUGGCCUCCAUUCUUUUGUUGUGUCUUGUCUUUUCCUUGGUUAUUUCUUACUAAUUACAGAAAAGAAAUUAACUUCAGCACUUUACAAUUCAUUCCAUUUUUAUUUUUUACUUUUAUGUAAAUGCUACAUUAGAUGUAAAAGGUCUUUAAAAGAUUAUUUUAAAGUUGGUCUACCAACUAAGUUUUCCUUAAAAAAUAUUCAGAGUAGUAUUAAUAAGUAGGAAUCAAGUAAAUGCAGACUAUAUUGAAGAGAGAUUUUGGAUUUUUUUAAAGUCUAGUGACAUUUGAAAAUUUUCAAAACACCUGUAUAACACCUGGCUUGACAAAACUCUUUGUUUGAAAAAGUGCUGUUUAAAAAAUGGUAUCUUUGGAAAAUGCAUAAGCGUGUGUGAAAGGGGGAGAAUCCAUAUAUGGAUUUAUAAAUCCAUUUAAAGUUCUUAAAAUUUGCAAAGCUAUUUACCACCAAAUACACUGCCACUUACAUUACCUCUCUCCUUUCAGCACUCUAGAAAGCAAAGAGAAUGGACAUAAGGUAGCAAGAAGGAAUGAAAAAGCAAAGAUAAGUGUCUUUCUGCAGGUCACUAAGGACUUCUUUGACAGUCACCUAAUCCAGCUGAUGACUCCAACCUUGAGACUUCCAGGUUGCAGAUGCUCGUGACAAGGCUCUAAAUUACAGAUGAGCAGGUGGUGACUUACUCCACAAACUCCAGCCUUGUAUAUAGCUAGGGCCCAGAAGACUCCUUACAACACACUUUGGAAAUGUUAAUCCAGUUCAGUGAGCACAUUUUAAAGAUGAAGAAACUAAGGCCCAGAGAAGGUAAGUGACUUGCCAUAGUCUUUUCCCUCCCAGGCCCCCAUGACUGGCUGUAUCGUGAUGCUUCCUAACCCACUGUUUCCCAUCUGGUGGCCUGUGCCAAACAUGGCCCUGCAAUCAACCUUAACCUCUACUACUAAUGGAUCUGAGCUCUCUUAAUUGUACACCUUUGGGUAGCAUUUCCUUGUGGCCAACGGGAAUUUGCAAGAAAGAUAACCAAAACUUGAAGUACAGUCUGUGACCAAAGAAUACUGAAAUUUAUUGACCUGAAUUCCCAACCUUGACCUUGGCCUCUGGGUUUGAGUCAGUGGGGUCAGCGGGCUAUCAUAACUACCAUAAAGAACAGCCAGAAGGAGCAAACACAAUGACUCUUGCCUGAGCAUGUAUUUCAGACAACACCAGAAUCCAUGACGCUUUGGGAGAAAUGAGGUUGUAAUAGGGCUGUUCUGCGUGUAGGAAAUUAGUAACUCCUUGCAGAGUUCUGUUCACCUAGAAUUCAGUUUUUCUAUUUGGAAAAAGAAGCAAUCUCAGUUCUCAGAAAAGAGGUGCUGUUUAAUUGCCUCAGGCUCUCUGGCUUCAUGUUUCUUGUGAAAUGUUUUAGGAAGAUGAGUGUGAUAAACUCAAAUAUGAGUUUUGCUUCUAAGAGCCCACAGACUAGCCCAGCUCUGAUUUCAGGUUGUUGGAGAGCACAGUCCCUCUAGCUUUCUCCCAAAUACCACUUUUCACCUUUGAGCUCACCUCUGACAAAAGCACCCACCCACAGACUUCUGUAAGCAGCUACUUCUUCAGGCUCUCCUGCCACAGUAACCUCGCUGUGGCAUGAAACACAACCAAGCAAGUAACGACCCAGCAUUUUCAAUUUUGCUAACAUCGCUGGGAAUCCUGGUGGCCUGAACUACUAUGACAGCACAGGAUGAAAAGUGACAACUCGUCUUUCUAACCUCUAGAGCCAGUUUCUACAUCCGCAAACCAUUAGUACCCUGAGGACACAAAAGAGAAGCUGCACCUAAAGGUGAAAGAGCAUUGGACCAAAAACCAGAAGCCCUGGAUUCUGAGCCUCCCUAAACUGUGUCCCUAUACAAGUCACUGAAAUAAGGAAACUGUGAGUGGCAGCAUUCCCAGAUUCAGUAUCUUCGCUAAGGAUACCUGCCCAUCUACCUCACAGAGUACUUUGAUAACAAAGUAAGAUAAUCUACAUGAAGAUACUUUAAAAUAUAUACAAUCUUAUACAAAUUAUAAGGUUGUUAUUGAAAUUUUUACAGCACACUAUUCAUUUACUGACACAAAUCCUGCUAUAAUGGCAGCUUUUUUUCCCCCUACUCCAGUAACUUAAGCUAAAACUAUGAUAUUAUUGGACUUCCCUAGUAGCUCAGAUGCUAAAGCAUCCACUUGCAACGCAGGAGACCUGGAUUUGAUCCCUGGGUUGGGAAGAUCCCCUGGAGAAGGAAACGGCAACCCACUCCAGUAUUCCUGCCUGGAGAAUUCCAUGGACAGAAGAGCCUGGUGGGCUACAGUCCAUGGGGUCUCAAAAACUCGGACACGACUGAGCGACUAACACAGACACAUAAUAUUGUUGUAACGUCCUUAUUUAGUGAUGAUUUUUGAAACAGCCCUUAUCACAUUGCUGUUAGAAAAGUGACCACAGACAUUUUCCACCAUACUCUCUACUUAAGUGGAUUUACUUUAAAUCCACUUAAGUCAAAUUUGUGUUAUUGCUGCAGACACCAUUGAUCUGAUGUCUGUGCUCAGUGGAAUGCAGGAGGCAAAGUAGUUUUCUAAUAUGUUUAGAAUGCUAUAUACCAGGCUGUGCGCUGUGGCGCAUCCAAACAGCUCACCCAUUCCCCUUCAUACUUGAGGCUUAUGGGAGAUGCCUUAAGAUGACAGUGGCAGCUAUCAGAGGCUACAUAAUGAUGUCGGUAUACGAUUAUAUAAGGCUGAGAGCCUCUUGGUGAAUCCUUGUGGUGGACUUCUCUCCUUUGAAUAGAGCACAAGAAAAGAACCCUUUUCUUCCCAAACAAUCACCAAUCUACACACAAAAGCACUACACACAAACUAGCACAUACCUCCUUAAGUGUCCCUGGAGUAACAAUCAGCCGGUAAGUUAUAUAUGUGGGGAUGCAGAUGAAAGAUGAGGUUCCUAUGCAGUAACCCAGGAUGAUGCUCCACUGAGGAUAAUCAUACUGGAAAAGUCGUAGCUGUGGUGGGCUCAUCAAAAAACUGCAGAUGAUGAACUAAAACAGAAAUUUCAAGAAACAGUGAAAAAUAUUCACAACACCCACACAGAGACAGUCCUAAUACUGCAGAAAGUGAAGUGAAGUGAAAGUUGCUCAGUCGUGUCUGACUCUUGGCUACCCCAUGGACUCUACAGUCCAUGGAAUUCUCCAGGCCAGAAUACUGCAGUGGGUAGCCUUUCCCUUCUCCAGGGGAUCUUCCCAACUCAGGGAUCGAACCCAGGUCUCCCGCAUUGCAGGCAGAUUCUUUACCUGCUGAGCCACUGGGGAAGCCAACAAUGCUAAAGGGAAGAUAAUUUCAGGAAAUUGCCUAAGGGUGAGAUAUCCUAGAUUGAUCUCUGACACAAAGAAGUCACUAAUUUCUGUGCCUCAGCUGCAAACAAAGAAGGGCUUAUCUUGAUUUUCGUCCCCAACCCCCAUCUCAACCCCUACAGUAGGGAUGCCAAGGCCUCAGAGAGUUACUGAGGGGAGAUACAAAGGAGAAGAGACUGGCAUCCAUCAGGCAUAGUUCAGGCCCCAGUUUGUCAGAUGGUGGAGGAAUAAACUGGGCAACCUCUCCAUGGCUCCUGCCAGUUCUAGGGCUUCAUCUCUCUCUCUCUCUCUGCUUUGUUUUUAUUUAUCUCCCCCUGCAUUUCUCUGCUGAUUGUUUUUGGUAACAUGGAAGGCACCUAUGUCCAGGAGACAUAAUAAGGUUCUCAAGACCCGGAGAGGAUGCAGACUCCUGAGUACCUGUUUCUUCUCUCCCCUCUCUUUAUUAUUAACCCCAAGCUAAGGACUAGGGUUUCAGCAAGGAUGGCUCUGCCACGAGGCAUCUUGACAACAAAUGCCUGCCUGCCACUGGCCCGUGUAAUGAAAGGAAUAAUGGAAGGAAACAGCAGCUUAAUACACUUUUUACUUGAAAAUUCAGUGAAGAUUUCAACCAAGAAAAAUUUCACGCCGCACUCCCAACACUCAGUUUAUGAGUUUUCUUAUUUCAGUUUGUUUUCCAGAGAGAGCGUAAAUGCCAGUUUUUGCCUAGUAACUGCUGUGCCGAAAUCGUUAUUGCUCUUGAUUUAAUUUUAUCUUAUUAUUUCAUAGUCAUAAAGAAGACAGUAAUGUAAAUUAUUUGUGUGGUUAAAUGUCUAUUUUUAUCUUUUUUCUUUGUCCUCAGGUAAUAAAAAUGGGAAACUGUUAAGCACACAUCCAUCUUCAGCACAGCACUAUCCUAAGUCCAGGAAGAAGCUUUCAAAACGAGCCUGGCCAUUUGCAAACCUUUCUCCAGACAGACUCUCCUCAGCCAGCCCCGGCUACUAAGGAAGGUGAUUUUGGGACAGGGAAAGGUAGGGUCUGGUCAGGAGCCAUGUCUGCUGUAACUCGUCUCAUCUUGGUGUCGGUGUGUGGAACCUCAUGCAGUUCAGGGAGGCUGCAAGCUCUCACUGUAGCCACUAAGUAUUGCUCCAGACACCCCCACCUCCUUUGCUCAUAUACAAUAUUUUCUUUUUCAUAACUUGGCUUCAAUGAAAAAGAAUAUUUUAAGUAAGCUACUCAUACUCAUUGUUUACCUAAAGCAGCCUUAAAAAGCCCAGAGCAAGGGAUCUGUUAAGUAAACCCAGAAGUGGAGGACAGAUUUGCCUCCUCUUAAUUGUACCCUGAAGCACCUUUAGAAGAAGUGAGUAUAGUGAACAUCACAGAAAUUAUAAGUCACAUGCCUGAACCCAGAUCUGUACCUGGAUUUUACUGGGCACAGAAACUCAUUGAUUGUAGCCCAAGUGUUCACCCAGUCUGCCAGACAGCCACAGAAGUGAAAAUACCAAAAGCCUGGGGCCAGGACUAGAGUAAGGCAUAUGAGGUAUUCCACCUUGGAUACAGCAUUUAAGGGGGUGCCAAAGUUCAGUAAUCAAGAAAUAAUAUUUUAGUGCAAUACUUUAAAAAGACAAACUCUUGAUAGGACCAGAUUAGGGUGAGUGAGGUGAGACAUGCCAAGUAUGUGGUCAGAUCUUGUGUGUGUUUAAAAUACUAGAAUUUGCUCAUCAGUAAAUUUUUUUUGCAUUAAUUUUGAUUUUUUAAAAAUACUGCAUAAAAACAGUAUUUAUUGGGACUUCCCUGGCUGUCCAGUGGUUAAGACUGUGCUUCCACUGCAGGGCACCUGGGUUCAAUCCUUUUUUCAGGGAACUAUGAUCCCGCAUGCUGCUUGGUGUGGUCAAAAAAAUAAUAGUAAUAUUUAUCGUGGCUACUAGGACUUACUGUGCAGCUCAUGAAGGACCUGACAGGUGUCCUAGUAAUUCUGUAUUCAUUUUCUUAAAGAUGACCCCCGCCAAAGUUCUUUAGGCAUAAAUCUUGAGUCAGACAUAGAAUUCAUUUAUUGUCAAAUGAGAGUGCUCAGCUCCAAGGGUUGCCUGUUUGCCCAAAGAUGGAUGAGCGCCCUGCUAACAUCCCAAGUGUGCUCCGAGGUAGCCUGGGGUAAAGUGCCUCCGUGCUCAUCAGCAGGGAUUACUCUCACUUCUUUCAUUUAUCUGUAACUCAAUUUAGGGUGGAAGGAGCUUUUUGAUCUUCUAGAGCCAGAGCCUGUUCCUUCAGUCCAGCUUAUUAGGAUAUCUGGGCCAUCCCUUUCCUCAGAGGACAUGGGUAUAGGUGUGCCUUCUUUCAGAACAACUCUUCUGCAUUCUUUUUGACUUUCCCAGGGCAGCCCUUUAUGUUUUGUGCUUUGUGUACCUGCAUGUCUCGAUAUUCACCUGUAAGAUGGGCAGCGUGCUCAUUCUUGCUUCUGUUAUGCUACAUGCGUCUCUCUCUCUACCACAGAAGCCCUCCUUGACUUCCAUUCCCUGGACGCUGGAGAUUUCCAAAACCAAAGCCAACUCUGCCCCAAGCAGCAGAAACUCUCAGGGCCCGGGGCUCUGGUAUGUGCUGUGGGCGCCAGUGCUCCUCUAGAUCUUGGCCUCGUAGUUGCUUAUUACCCUGUCAUCUUGCUAUUGCUUUUUGGUAAACUUAAAACACAAUGUAUUUUUAAAUCCAGAAAUUUUAGCUGUUUUCAGUGAGAGGGUUGGUCUGGAUCACUAGUCUGCCAUUACUAGAAGCAGAAGUCUUGACAUAAAUGGGUUAUUAAUUUAUAUUAUUACCAGUGCUUCUAGAUAAUCUACUUAAAUCCUUUCAUUUGUUUUUCAAAGGGAGAGACACUGGAUUAGUGCCCUGAGGAAAGAAGCCAUGUCUGUUAGUUCACUUUCAUGUUCUCCACGCAGGGAAGGAAUGAUGCUUGGGGCUGACACUCAGGAAAGGCAAACAAGGCCCUCACCCUGGGUAUAAAACUUUAGACCUAAAAUUGAACUGAGACCUGACUUUAUCUUCCCUUUCCUCAUUGACUGCCUGUGUAGAAGUUUGAUCCAAUAUUGAAAACCAGGAAUUGAAGCUUUCAAGUAUAAUCAUAGAAAUGUCUGGUUCUCCCUUCAGUUCUGUGUUUGCUUCAUAUAUCUUGGGGACUCUGCUGUUUGGUGUGUGUAAUUUAUAAUGAUUUCCUAUUCAUAAUAAAUUCACCCAUUUUCAUUAAAAAAAAAAAAUAGCAGUGAAUAUAAGUUUAGCAUAAAGUCUGGCCUGGCAUUUCUUGCUCAAUGAACAUUAUGUGUUAUUAUCAUGGAGCAGGGAAGCAAUGAAAUAAUGUGACAGAAGCCAGAAGAGUGGUUAACUUUGAGGGUGGUGGUGUGUGUGUGAGGGUGAAUCUUUUCUCUAGGGCCAGGAGGAGAAGGGAGAUGACAACUCACCAGGAGAAACAGAGGACUGAUGGCUACCCAGCAGAUCUUCCAAAACCAUCCAGGGCUGAAACCAAGCAUUUCCUUCACAUCACUGCAGAACUGAUUGAUGCCUACAGUCAUCCAAAAGAGAAGGAGAUUGAUUAAGAGAGGAAACAGACUGUCCUCCUAGCCCUUGAGUCUCAGAGAGAGUAGCAACUCUGGAAUUUCUCCGUGGGAGGGGUUCAGGGACACCAAUCUGGUCUGAAAGUGGGACGGGGAACAUGUCACAAAAAUACUUGUUAUAGCAAGCAAAGCUCUUUCUACAGAGAGUGGGAGGACUGGUAGACACUGGGGACCUAAAGCCUUGUCUUGGUGCCCCACAGCACCCUUCUAGGAUUUCACCAUGUAUCUGAUUUUAUCCUUACUGUAGAAAAGGAAGUUGAACUUUGUCUAAAAAUGUUGAACCCACUUGAUAGAGACUGACUCUGACCAUAUGCUAGAAACUUUCAAGAGAAAAUUCUAACCACACUAUUGCUCAUUCAUGUUGUCAGAUCAAGAUCAAGGUUCUUCUCUACAAAGUAACCGGCAGGGAAGUGAGAAGUGGGAACUCCGACUGGGGAGAGAUGGAGAAGGGGAAGGAAGAGCACUCUGUGGUUGCUUCCCUGAAAAUGCCCACAGGUCUGUAGCAUCACAGACUUUGAACUUGGUUCUCUGAAGUGCUGAGGGGGUGGGGAGGACUUCUUUCAAACACACAAAAAAGUCCCAAAACCGGGCCCACGUAUAACUCAAAACAUGGGAUCCCCCCUUCUUCAUGUUAUGUGUAAUGAUCUACAUGCUAAAGCUGUUCUGCUAUCAUAGAAACUGGGAAAAUAAAUAUAUUCAGAA